CCACACCCAGCUAAUUUUGUAUUUGUUAGUAGAGGUGGGGUUUCUCCAUGUUGGUCAAGCUGGUGUUGAACUCCUGACCUCAGGUGAUCCCCCUGCCUCGGCCUCCCAAAGUGUUGGGAUUACAGGUGUGAGCCACUACACCUGGCCCCACCAGUAUUUUAACACAUCCCUUGUAUUUGCACUGAAGCCACCAUUGAGGAUAUUCAGAAUUUUGUAGUGGAGUCUGGUUAGAAAACUAACAGAGUACUAAUAAUAUUUAGAAGUAUUAUGUAAUAGAGGAAAGGUUAUGGGGGUCAGAGAGAUCUAAGUGUGUAUUUUAGUCUUAUCCCUUACUAGCUAAAAUAUAAGGAAAUUUUAAGCCUGUGGGUAUGUGCUUUAAAAAUUACCUUGGGCAAGUCACUGAUGCUCUGUGUGAGCCUCAAGUGCUCAAUUAAAAUGGAUAGAAUAAUCACCAUCUCCUAGGAUUUCAUGAGGGGUGCAUGAAAGAGCAUGUGAAACGCACAGGCUCAUAUCUGGUGUGCAAUAGCCUUGAUUUAUUUUUCUUUGCUUUCCUUCGAUACAUUUUCCCUUGCUCGCGUCAUCUUAGAAAUUAUGGCUAAUAUUAGAGCUCUUUGUAUCCUCAGUAAAAAAAGACACGGACUGAGAUAACAUUUUACUACAGAAUCGGCCGAGGUUUGCGUUGCUCCUCAAAUUUAGGAAGCACAUUAGUUAGAGGCUGAAUGGUAACGCUCUUUUUUCUGAGCCACAGUGGAAAAAGCUGGAGGUUUCCUUUAUCACUCUGAUGGUAUUCUGCUUCCUUCACCAAUGCAAUUCCAUUAUUGCAGUGAAGAAAAUGCACGAUACCUGGAUGAAAGGGGACUCCAUGGAAUGUGAAGUUGUUUGAAAUGGUGUGAGUGGCAUCAUUAAGAUGCCACAUUUUCAUUUCAUUUCUCUUCAGCUUGCAAACACUUCGGUAACCUGCAAAGAUGCUGGAGCCAGUGGGGCAGGGAGUCCAGCCAGGAGGUCCAAAUGCCAUUUCCACACCAGGAUUACUAAUGGGCAUCGUCCUCUUCAAACCACUAAGCUUCUUUAAUUUUGGGGAGACAACAAAAAUGAACCAACACAAUAAUGUAGUUCUAACCUGUGAGAAAAGUGAUGUCAGCCAAACCCAGUGUCCUUGAGCCAGGCUGACCUUCCCAGCACUAUAAGGGCAGUUGCCAGAUAGGCACCUAGCAGUGCGUCAGCUCAGUGGGCUCAGUUCUGGAUGCUAAAUUCCAGUUCUACGCUUGACGCCCCUGGCUUCUGCCAGGACUCGAUCUCACAGUGUCAGCCCCACAUUUGCUUUUGCAAGAUCAUGGAUCUUGUGUUUGAACUUUGUUUUUCCAACUUUGACACUCACAUGGCCUCUGAACUUAAGCUCUGGCCUCCUUCUUCCUGACUGCUUCGAGUAGACCCAAACCUAUUUUUUAUCUGAGGACAAAAUACCUGUCUGGGCUCUAGUCAUGCUACCUUAGUUACCUAAAUAUCAGCAAUGCUGAUUCCUAACCACCCUGACUAUUGUCACCAGAAGGUGCCCUGAUGAUGUUGGGAAGUCUUGCUCCUUGUCUGGGGCCCAAGGCCCGCUUGAAGUUUGAAGAUCCAUCUUUAGGUAGGUAGGUAGGGUCAUCAUUUGCUUAGCAGCCAAACCAAAAUGCUGCAUACUCCUUGGGUUAGGUAGAAUGAUGACCCCCAACGAUCUCUACAUCCCAGGCCCCUGAACCGGUGAGUAUAUCAUGUGACAUGGCAAAGGAGAAUGAAGUUUGCAGAAGGAAUUAAGUUGCUAAUCAAUUGACCUUAUGAUUGAGAAAUUAUUUUAGAUUAUUGAAGCAAGUCUAAUGUAAUUAUUAGGGUCCUUUAAGGUGGAAGAGGGAAGCAGAAGAGGAGGUCAAAGUGAGAGAGAGAUUUGAAGAUGCUCCACUGCUGGCUUUGAAGAUGGGGAAAGGGACCACAGGGAGGCCUCCAGGAGCUGGAGCAAGCAGAGAAAGAUUAUUCCCUAGAGCCUCCACGGGACGCAGUCCUGCUGACGACUUGAUUUAACCCAGGAUGAUCCAUGUCUGACUUCCUGCCUCUGGAAUUUUCUGGAGGCCGGCAAGUCCAAGAUCAACGUGCCAGCUGAUUCGGUGCCUUCUUCCUGGUUUCCAUUUGGCCAUCUUCUCACUGUGUCCUCACAUGGUAAAAACAGAUCAAGAGAGCUGUAAGGGCAUGAAUCCUAUAUGUGAGGGCUCCAGGUUCAGAUUAGGGGUUAGUAUUUCAACAUAGGAAUGUUGGGGGUAUAUAUUCAGUUCAGAACACCACGUGACAGGCAAUAUUCUAAAAUAUUCAUGACCAUCUAACUAGUUUAGGUAAUAGAGGUUGGAUGUGGUGGCAGUUUGGAUGGAGUCUGGAGAAGUUGUCCUUUACAAUACUGCUUUAUGGAAAAGAGGCUUGUUCUGUAAGUGAGGAGUGCAUGAGGCUUUCCCCUAAUGACUGCUGGUCUGGCCCAGGCUUCCUAGUUGCUCCUGUCAAGUCAGGGGCUUAGGUUGCAGCCCCUUCAGUUCCCACAUAGCCAUGCCCAGCACAGUCAAGGUCACCUGUGGGGGCUCCUUUCAGAAAACUGCAGUGUGGGGAACAACCCUUCUUGCUGUGUGGGUGAGGAAAACCCAGGUCAAUCCUUCUCAGUAGACUCUUUGAGAACUCUUUAAGGAGCUUUAAAAAUAUCUGUCCCAGGCUCCACCCCAGGUAGUGAACUCAAGUCAGGGUUGUGAAACACUGGCCUCAGAACAGAGGCCUGAAAACCUUUCUGUGUCACAUGAUGAAAAUCUUUUUCUUAACCUCUGACCCAACUAGAGCUGCAGACAAAACAAGCAAAUGGACGCACCAAGACACCAGCUGGCUUCUGAAGGUUUCAUCUGGUUACAUCGAAGAUGCAGAAGGUACAACUUUGUUCACAUCCUUAGUCAAAUUCUUAAACUGGACAUUUACAUGAAAGUGAUAGCUCAAAAUAUAUGAGCAUUUCAGAGACUUUUCAGAAAUAUUUCCUGAUUAAAAAAACACAUAGUCUCUCCAGAAGUGGGAAGAGUACCAUUUCUUUGAGCCUUUGCUAAUACCGUACAUUUAUACUUAAAAAGUUUUGCCACUUUGAAAGUACAAUAAAUACUCCUUGAGUAAUCACUCUGUGCAAAGCGCUACACUGAGCAAUGUGUUAUUUCAAUUUCAAAACGUUUAGUCGUUGGUGAGAUUGAGCAUCUUUUCAGAAAUUCAAUAUUACACACACAUAUAUAUUUUCUAUUUGUAAAGCUCACUCUGGCUGUGGCAAGAUGAUAAACGCACAGUGGGAGGGGACUGGGGGUCCAGAAUGGAGACAGGGAGACACAUCCAGAGGCCACUGCAGUGCUGCAGGUGGCAUCCAAGGGUGGCUGGGCUGGGUGUGAGAAGUGGAGGUGGUGAGAAGGGGGUCACACUUGGGACGUGGGGGAAGGCUAGUAGUGUUUGUUGAUGGAUAUGGGCUAUAAGGGGAAAAGGGGAAACAAGGAUGACUUGGAGGUUUUCAGGCUGAGCAACUGAGUUGGUGGUGGCCUCAUUUCCUUAGGUGGAGGAAGACAGGAUGGAAUAGGUUAGAGUGGGGAAGGGUGGAUCUAGAUUUUUCCCCAUUGCCACACCUGCCUUGCGUUCAUUUUACAGCCUGAGUUUGCCUGUGGAGAUGCAGGGCAGGGCUUUGCACACCCUGCAGAGGUUGCUGGGUGACCAGCAGGAUGGGAAUCCCAAGUCAGCUCCUCCUUUAGAUUUUCCUGGCCUCUCCCACCAUUACCACGUCUCCCCCAAGGACGUGCCGGGGUCAAGUCCAAAAGCAGGUGACUUUGGCAGGAAGAACUUGGACACUCUGAACUAGAACACACAUCUCUGCGUGUGGUCAUUUGCUCUCCCUCAGGCUGCUGAGAGGGGUCUGGAGACAGCUUCAGGUGGGCUACUCCGAGCUCUAUAGAGACCUGGGGUGGCAGACAGGCCAGGCUGCCCAGGCACUGGGUCACACUCUCUUCUGGACCAACUGCUUGCUCUGCAUUCACCUUUCCUUGCCAUCAGAUGACCAGAGACAGUAUCAAGGCAGAACGGAUACUGGGCCUUCCCAGAUUUCUUUUAAGAGCAAGGUGCCUAUUAGACAAGUGGAGAUGCUGAGUCAGCAGUUGGAUUCACAAGCGUGGAAAUCAGGAGGGAUUAGAUUGAAGACACAGACUUGCAGGCCAGAGCACAGAUAGUUUCUAAGGCAGUGAGAAUGGUUGGGAUCCCUGAGAGAGAGAAGAGAUAGAGAAAUGAAGACUGAGAACUGGGGCACCUAAUAAUUUAAAGUUCUGGGAGAGGAGAAGAAUCUAGCAAAGGAGAGAGAAUGAACAACUGGGGAGUCAAGAGAUCUAAUGAGUUUGCUGUCAGAGAAACCUAAGCAAAAAAUAUUUCAGUAGUGUUGGCCAGGCAGGGUGGCUCACACCUGCAAUCCCAGCACUUUGGGGGGUGCGAGGUGGGUGGGUCACUUGAGAUCAGGAGUUUGAGACCAGCCUGGCUAACAUGAGGAAACCCGGUCUCUACUAAAAAUACAAAAAGUAACCAGGCAUAGCGGUGUGUGCUUGUAAUCCCAGCUACCUGGGACACUGAGGUGGGAGAAUCCCUUGAACUUGGGAGGCAGAAGUUGCAGUGAGCCCAGAUCAUGCCGCUGCACUCCAGCCUGGGUGACAGAAUGAGACUGUCGCAAAUGUCUCAAGAAGAAAAAUGUCAGCUGUGUUCAGUGAGAUGGGGACAAGAAAUCGAUGUAAACUUUGACCGUCUGUGUGUUAAGUGCUGCCUUCUUGGUGCAGUAAGGACAGAAUCAUGAUUACAGUAGUUGAAGAGGAGAUGGUGACAAAUCUCUUGAGAAAUUUUGUGUUGAGGGGAACAGAUAAGUGGAAUAAAAUAUGUAUCUGACCUUGGCAUCUGGGAAAGAUUUAAGAACAGUAUGUUCGUAGGCUUAUGGGAAUGUUCUUCUCUGUGGGAGAAAUGGAUGAUGGCAGAAGGAGAGGGAAUAAUGGCAGAGCCUUUUACUUCUCAAUGAGAAGUCACGAGAGAGUGGGGUAUAGACUACAGGAGGAAGGAUUAUGUCUGCUUUUUCAGGGCUAUUUCUUCGGCAGUGAAAAUGGAAUAAGGGGUGCAAAUGCAGACAAGUUCAUGGAUCUAAUGGGAGAUGUGGACGUCCAUCUUGCACCCACAUAUGUUGACUGUUUUGUCUGCAGCACUCUAGGUACCUCAAGGCAUGGAGAUCAACUUGCUCCUCAGUGCCACUUCCAAGUUACUACACCUUCAAAAACUUCUCUUACCCACUGCAGCCGUCUUCUCCCCCGCACCCUCCUUCUUGAAUGCGUGCAGUUAGCACUCGGAUCACUGGCUUUCUCUCCAUGGUUGCUCAGGUAGAACUUUGGGCAACUCGCUGUGUCCACAAGUUAUGAAUCCAAUAACCUCCUGCUCCAGAGGCUCGAUUUCCUCAUCUCCGGUGCCCUUGAGGUGAGGUCCACUUCACCCUACUGAUAGUGGCAGGAGGCAGUCAAAUGCCCAGGCAGAUGGGGUGGGUACCCAGCGAAAUCACACCUUCAAACCAAAGACAGUUCAAAGCCUGAAGGCCAAGCUACACGUCUUGGACCAGACUGAGAACCUCUCUUCUUGUUUGGUGUGCUCUCCUCUGACUGAGCCCCACCUUUCACCUGUUUGACAUAUACCUGCCCUUCCCUAAUUAGUUUCCUACACUGUGUUUCUUACCCACCUCUGAGUGGUGCCUUUGUUUUAGCCUUCCUUGCAUACUCACAAACCAAUCAGCAGGUACUCCCCCAUUCUGAGCCUAUAAAAGCCCUGGACUCAGCUACACUUUUUGGGGACUGCCUGCCUUUUCAGGUGGAGGGAGCUGCCCUCUCUUAAUCCUUUCUCUGCUGAGAGCUGUUGCCCAGUAAAACUCUCAGCCCUGCUCACCCUUCAGCUGUCAAUGUAACCACAUUCUUCUUGGACACAGAACAAGAAAUUGAGACCCACUGAAUGCGAGUACAAAAAAGGCUGUAACAGCCCGUUUGGGGCUCCGGGGUAGCUGGCAUCCCUGUUGAAGCACAGCCACAUUCCCCUUGUUGGGAUCCCGGGGCACAAGGUGGAGGCAGGUCAAGACAUGCCCAGCCUGGCCCAGCUGUGGGCUGAGCGUGGAUCCUGUGGUGAACAUGGCAUCUGGCCAGAGCACAAACCAGGUGUGGCCUUGCUGGCCGAGUGGGCAGGGUGCCUCCUGUUGUAAGCCCAGGGCUGAGUGAGGCUGAGCUGUGGAUUUUGGCAGCUGUGGACAUCUCCAGCUGGCCAAGCAGCAUUGAAAAAUCCUGCGUCACUGCCACUUGCUUACAGGGUCAUAAUGGAGAUCAGGGAGUACAUCUUUUAAGGAGACUAAGGUAAAUCAUGUCCUCCAGUGCCAGCCACUUUUCAGUCAGAAGAAAAAAGGGAAAACAGGCUGGGAGAGGUGCCUCUUGCCUGUAAUCUCAGCACUUUGGGACCUUGAGAUGGGCACAUCACCUGAGGUGAGGAGUUUGAGACCAGCCUGGCCAAGAUCGUGGAACUCUGUCUCUACUAAAAAUGCAACAAUUAGCUGGGCAUGGUGGCACACAUCUGUAAUCCCAACACUUUGGAAGGGUAAGGCAGGCGUAUCACCUGAGCUCAGGAGUUUGAGACCAGUCUGACCACCAUGGUAAAACCCAUCUCUACUAAAAAUACAAACAUUUGCCAGGAAUGGUGGCACAUGCCUAUAAUUCCAGCUACUUAGGAGGCUGAGGCAGGAGAAUCACUUGGACCUGAGAGGCAGAGGUUGCAGUGAGCCAAGAUCACACCACUAUUCUCCAGCCUGGGUGACCAGAAGGAGACUUCUCAAAAAAAAAAAAAAAAAAAACGAAAAUAACUUUUAGGGUAUGGAUGGAGAUUACAGGGGAUUUUGCUGAUGAUAGGUGGUUAAUUUGGGAGGAUGAAAAAAGUGGGUGAUUAGGUCCAGUCGAGGCACUGCAUGUGGGUAGGGUAAGCAUGCCUCUGAUUAUGCUGAAGACUGAAGCAAAUGGGAUGUUAGGUGUAAUGGGAUGGGUCCUUCCUUUGAGGAGGGAGGGCCGUCAAAAGGAAGCUGUAGAUUAUUUAGCUGUUGAGCAUGUAAGGAAGGUGUGGGCCCUUCUCAGUAGCAGCUGAAGAGGCAACUCCCAGAGCACUGGUAACCUGGGGAAGGACCAAGGUGGCUGAUCUUUCUUUCAGAUGUCCUAAGUCCUUGGGGCUGGUUCCCGGUGUCCUCUUGUGGCAGCUAAGCAUCUAGUCCGGGUGGCUGGUGUUUCUCUCACUUGAGGAUAGGGAAUGACUCCUUAGAGCAGAUGGAAGGUUUCCCCAGCAGCUUUAGAUGUGACUCUCAUAUAUGUUUUGCUUUUUCCUGCUUAUUUGUUUUCUGAUUUGUUUGUAACUGAACCUUAUGCAUUAAGCAUUUUUCUAUUCAUAUUUUAUUUACAAUUAUAUUUUUAUGUUAUAUAAUAUUGUGUGGUAUAAAGCAUGAAAUGUGCUAUUUUGUUUCCUUAUUGUUGGAUAUGUAUGCUAUUUCCAAAUCUUUGCAAAUAUAUGUUACAAUGAACAUUUCUAUGUAUAUAUGUAUAUUUUAUUUGACAAGUUAUUACUUAUGAUAAAUUUCCAGGAUCAGAAUUAUUGGAUUGAAAUGUGGGAAAAGGGCCGGGUACAGUGGCUCACGCCUGUAAUCCCAGCACUUUGGGAGGCUGAGGCAAGCGGAUCACCUGAGGUCAGGAGUUUGAGACCAGCCUGGCCAAUAUGGUGAAACCCAAUCUCUAUUAAAAAUAAAUAAUUAGCUGGGUGUGGUGGCAGGCACCUGUAAUCCUAGCCUGGGAGGCUGAGGCAUGAGAAUCGCUUGAACCCAGGAGAUGGAGGUUACAGUGAGCCAACAUUGUGCCACUGCACUGCAGACUGGGCCACAGAGGGAGGCUCAGUCUCAAAAAAAAAAAAUAAAUAAAAUAAAUAAAUAAAACGAAAUAUAUGUAAGGUUUACAGCCGUUUCCAUAACGCAUUGGUUUUAAUCCAUGAUACAUCUAACUCGGGAGGAAGUUGAAUUCUCCUUCAUGACUCCAGACUGCUCCUCUUUCCUUUAUCCAUCUCCAGAUACAGUUCCUCAGUUUCCUCUGACCCCCAAACAUUUCUUUUCAGCACCGUAUUUCCUCUGACUAACAGCUGUCACUCUUACUCUCCAGAAUUCCAUUGGCAAAUUUAACAAGUUUGUUAAUUCAGAUGUUUGUCGAAGCUGCCAUGAAGAUAGUCAGAAGAGUUUGUUCCCGAAUCUGAUUUAAACAGUACGGUAUUUGGAGGUAUCAUGUUACAGAGGAACAUAUUUGAGACCUGGAGAAACCUAAAAUUGAAUUUCAGCCUUAGCAUUUCCUAGCUAAAAAUGCUAUAAAAUAUAGGCAAAUGUAGAUGUGACAUGAAAAUUACCUUCAGCAAGUCUUUUAUACUCUAGGCUUAAUGCGUUGAACUAUCAAACAACCCUCAUGAGGACAUCUUCACAGAGUUGUGUGAGACGGAGGCCGAUGUGAAAAUGCCUUCUGGUAUGUCUGGUGUGCGAAAAUUAUUAUUGCUGUUGCUCAUUUUUUUCCUGUAUUCACUGGCUUUUCAUCAUUUUUGGAACAAAUGACUCGAUGUAGCUGUUGGUGGUGUCAUUGCCUGUCAGCCAAAACUCCCAAGAAACACAUCUGCAGUGGAGCAAAUUUGCCUGUGUUACUUGUUGCAGCUAAAGGGACCACACACCAUAAGGGAAUCGGGAAGCAUUUCAGGAUUUAAACCUUUAGGUGGUUUUGGGGGUGUUUGAAGAUGUAAGGUACUCUCCUGUGUUGGAUACUGCCAGGAAGUAAAAUUAAAUAUAUGCAGGGACAGCUUAAUAUUUUACCUAGGAAGUGGCAGAAAUGGAAUGGAACUGAAGAUAGAAUCGGCAAAAAGGCAAUGGCCACUCAUGUUAGCUCAGAGAGGAAGAAAUUGGAUUGCUUUUUUACAGUAUUUCCAGUAUUGUGUUUGCACUCAGACAUAACUUCCGAGGAAUUUGACUUUUAUCCGACUCUAUCGUGGUCCCACACUGAAUUCAUCCGACGUCAGUGUUCUGUGAAAUUGUUUAUCCUCAGUAGACCGUCAUGCUCUUGCUGAUAGUGCAAGCAAACAGCUUUUGGAUGUUUUUCUUCUAAUUCUCAUUUGGUCAACGGCAGAUGAAGUUAGGCCACAGGAAGUUAAUCCACGAUAUUGAAGUUUUUCCCCAUUACUGCGAUUCUGCCUGUUGGGAGCUGUCCAGAGAACAUUCUUUGUUUUUGAACAAGUUAGUACCUCUUAUUCCUUUUGUUAUCAGACGGGUUGUUGAGUGAUCUGACAUGACAAAGGCUGUGUGUUUUCGUACAAGAUGCAUCAGUCAAGUGGUUUCUAGGCAACUGUGAAAGACAACAUGACCAUUUAUUAGUCGUUCAAGUCCAGGGACAAGGUGACUAACCCCAGGCCGUGAAAACAUGAGCCAAGGUCCAAGUGGGUCUGCUCUACGGAUCAAGGUCAUGUGCUUUUCUUUCAGUCUAAUCCCAGACUGUUCCGUCUCUCCAAUUGUAUGUAUGUUGGUGACACAGGGAGUGUUUACUAUAGCAUGAAUUCCCCUUAACUAGUAAAUUUAACUAGUUUAUUUUGGGCCUUCCCAUUAGAGGGAGUUUGUACUUAAGAGUAAUACUGUAUGGGGCACAGACCCCGUUGAAUGACAGUCACUUUUACAAAAAAAAAGAAAAGGAAAGAAAAACCAAACCCUCUACUUCUAAUUUUACUAAUUUUAUAUGUUAUUCCUGUAACAAUUACAGGGAAAGAUAAACAAACCUUCAUGGCUGUAUUUAGGUAUGUGCAUGCAUAUCAACAUAAAAAUAAAUGAGAAAUGUAAAUAUUUUAACUAUGUUGAAAUACGUUAAAACAAUAUAUAUAUUAUACCAUAUCAUCUUAAUACAUUGUAAUCACAUCAAUUAUCUUACAUCAUAUUCCUAUUUUCUGUAACGAUUGCACUAGUCUACUCAACCUGUUAGGUGGUUUUGGGGGGUAUUUGAAGAAGCGGGGUACUCUUACAACACUCCAAGGAGCCACUCCAAGAGUUCAGCCGGAACCCAACUCAUAUAAUGUAUAUUAUUUUAGGUAGCCAAAGUAACCAGCGUUCUGCCCCAAACACAAAAGAAAACUGGAAAACUGUUGAAUUGUUUUACAAUUUUAGCCAAUUUCAACAAAUUUAAGUUAGCAAAACAAAGGUAUGUAAUCAUAAGUCGUUUGCAUACCCUGUUAAUUUCUAGCCAUCUUAAGAAAUAAGGGUCAAUUAAAAUUUCAUUAAGUCUUUUGAAUCUCAUUAUUGCAAAUUUUCUAGGUAUCAAAGAUUAUUUAUUGAUUCAAUUUAAUAUUUGUUUUAGGUCUUAAAGUUGCUAAAGGUUAUGAUUUUAAUUAACGUAUUAUCUCCUGUUUUGUUUAUAAUACUAAAAGAAAUUUUAUAAGAUUAAAUGCUUUAGAAUAGUAUCUAUUUUUACAAUUCAAUUUAAUUAUAGUGACUCUCUUGAUGAGACAUUCCCAUUUCUAGCUCCUUUUCACAGAUAAAUAAACUAAGUAUUUAUAAACUAUUUAGUACAGUUAGGCGUCAUUCUGAGGGGUUCACAACUGAAUUUCAUUUUGAUGCUGUGUUUUUACAUUGUGGCUGUUUGAUGUGGGUCUAGACGAUGACUCCCUUUUGUGAUUUCAUCUUAUGGAUAAGUUUUGCUACAUAUGCUGACUGUAAGUGAGCCGCUUUGACGAAUAUUAGGUAUGUUUUAAAGAAAAGAAUUCAUGUAAAUAUCUGUUUUUUAAAGCCAAUCAAUAUUUAUAUAGGUAUGAAAGAAUGUGUACAUUUGCCUUUAAACUAUAAAAACAAAUACAACAUUGAAAGUGAAAGAUGCUUUCUGAUGCCGAUACUUACACUACUCACAUUAUUGUUGAGGUUAUGAUGAACUCAUAAAACGCAGUUUUUAUACUGUUUAAGGGCAAAAUAAAAAGUAAUUGUAUAUAUAAUCAUUUUGUAAGUGAUAUAAUUUAUAAGUCCCUGAAAAUUAUAGCUUCAUCUAGCAAAAAUAUAAUCUCUUAAGCAGCAGCGGUUGCAUAAACUAAUAAGGAAAGGGGCACAAUUAAAUUUUUUUCUAAGUAAGACAAAGGAAAGCUCUGAGUUUCCUGGUAUAGUUUUGGAAGCGCAGUAGUUGAAUUGUUUGAAGAUUGAAUUAAUUUUGCAGGCACACAUUUUUGUUUUCAGGCUGUGAAGUUUGGGGGAGAUCUUGAUGGUGGCGGCAGUGGUGGGAUCCAUGCGUGGCAUCUGGAAGAAGGAGAGAAAGGAAGAGAAAGAAGGGAGGAGAGAGGAGGAAAUGAGGCCGUGAAAUAUCAUACACAGUUCCUUGGAUGGACGGAGGAGCAGGGAGAGCACGACCUGGCAGCUUGGGAGGGAGCUGAGCAGAGGGGUGGGGAGCUCUAGCUUUGGUUUUGGGAGGGGCCAGCUGUGCACCAGUGCUCUGUUCAGAAGAGCUGAUUGCAGUGGAAUGACACGUAGUCCAUCUUCUAGCAACUGGACCUUUCCCCGGACCUCAGCUGUCCCCUCUUGUUCUCUUCCUACAGCUCCUCCUAAGGAACUGAGUUGAUCUUCAGCUCUCAGGGUUUUUUCUGGUAGGCUCCAGGUUUCUUCUGACAUCUUAAAGGCCAAUGCUCUUUACGAAAGGUUCUAGCUCCACAGCCUCCUUCCUGUCAGAGCUGAGAAUAUCAGUGGUUUUGCAUUUCUCCUGAAUCAGUGGACAUGUUUUUCUUCCAGCUGUGUCCCUCUUUUAACAUAAAGUUGGAUUUCAGCUGAUUAACAUAUCUGACAAUAAAAAGGUAUGAAAAGUCCAAAUAUGGCUGCACAUGUCCCAAGAGGCUGAGGAAGUCGAGGUCAGGCUCAGGUUGGGCGGGGACACGGCGGCCUCCCUACUCACUUUCCUAAGGACGUUCUCUGAGGGGCGCUGCACAGAGGGCACCUGGGGCACCAUCCUGUAGCCAUGGCUCCACAAGACCGCGCUCCACACACACCGCAGAGCGACCCCAAGAGUUCAGCCCGGAACCCACGUCAGUGCCUGGGAAGCAGCACUGGGACCUUGGUGGAGGGCCAGACAGAUUCGGCGAAGAAUGCCUGUGCCCUGGGACUGGCCAGCACGUCCAGUUCCCUCCCUCCUCUCUCUUGUAAUCACAUACAUGAGACAUAAGGAAACGCUGAAAGACGAGUACAGUGAGCGUCCCUAAUGUACCUGCCUGACAGAACAGUUGACAUUUUCCGGUAUUUACUUCUGCCUCUAUCUCUUCUUUAUUCUGAAACAUUUCAAAGUAAUAGAUGACGUGACAUUUCAGCGUGCAUUUGCAAAUCGUAUGCACAUUGCCCUGCAUUUCCAUAUGUCGUUGUGCUCCUUUGUUAAACGCUCAUGUUCCAGAUGAGGAAGGGAGCUGAAGCACAGAGAAAGAAGUUACGCGGGAAAUUGCAGACCUGCAUUUCCAUCUGGCUCUCAGUAGCUCUGAAGGCUGUAGGAAGAUUUUUACAGUGAUCUUUCUGACUGCGUGGAGAAGGCCUGAGGUCAGUGCCUACCCUUUCUCAACCUCCCUGGCACUCUCUUAUCUCCCUUUUCAGCGAAGAGAGGGCGCUCCUCAGGUGCAGAAUGCUUGCAGGCACAGAGUCUCUCUCAAACUUAAUAAGGUAUUUUAACAUUUAUAUUUCGUUUUAUACUUACCUAUCAUUUAUGGCUAUAUUUUCGCAUAUGUCCAUGUUUUAUAUUUUAAAAAUGCGUGGCAGUGGAUAUAAAGAUUUUUUAUAUAUAUUUACUUAAGUAAAAGUGUUAUAAUAUUGGUAGUACCUGGCAAAAAAUUAUAGCAAAAUUGUCCCUCUGAUAGGGGAAUUACUGAAGCUUUAGAAAUACUGUUGCAAACCGUGUGAAAGGGCUGCUGUACGUAUAAACCACCCUUCCUCUGGCCGGGUCUGAACCUUAGGGGUGUUUCUGAUUCCUAGUCCUGUCCCCACCUUGUCUUGGCUGCCUGGGGGAAGAGGAGAAGUCGCCAUUGGUGUGGCCUCAGUCGAAGGAGAAACUGUGCUGAGUCUUCUCCAUGGCCCCCUUUCCCACCUGUCCUGACAUAUUUCUUCUGUUUUUCAUUCCAAGUGUCAGCGACUGUUUUGUGUCAAAUCUGCCAUGAAAUGUGCAUCUUUCCCAUAAGCAAAGGAAGAGGUGGAGGUGCUUACUCAUCCCUCAGCCCUGGUUGAUUUCUCAGAUGCAUUCUAAAUAGCCAAGCAGUCCCUUCUAAUAAUAGCAAUAACAACCAUGUUAGUGAUAAUUUCCUGUGGCCCAGACAUGCAAACCAGUCCGUGUGCAACUGGCCUUUUCCCACGGCUUCAGUAGAGGCUGAUGUUAUUCCUGUGGCCCAGCCGGGGCACCAUCCUGAAGAAGGCAGAGCCAGCGUGCUGUGGGAGUUGAGGAAGAGACCUGACACCUGAGCACAUCCGCUGUGCCUGGCCCCUGAAUUUGCUGUGUGUGGUGCACAAUAACUAGAAAUACACUUAAUCCUAGAUUGUAUCAGUUGUAAAAGGUCUAGUAAAAUUUUACAAAAGAAUAUCCAGAGAGAAGAUUGUUUUUAAUAAGAAAUAUCAAGAGAGUGGGGAAAAGAGGGCGAUUAAAAAAAUAGUAGAGCUGCGCACAGUGACUCACGCCUGUAAUCCCAGCACUUUGGGAGGCUGAGGUGGGCGGAUAACCCGAGGUCAGGAGUUCGAGACCAGCCUGGCCAACAUGGCUAAACCCCAUCUCUACUAAAAGUACAACAAUUAGCCUGGCAUAGGGGCACAUGCCUGUAAUCUCAACUACUCAGGAGGUUGAGGCAGAAUUGCUUGAACCCGGGAGGUAGAGGUUGCCAUGAGCUGAGAUCAUGCCACUGCUCUCCAUCCUGGGCUACAGAAAAUAAAAGUUGGUUUCUAAGAGUUGAAAGAAGCCAUUUAGCAAGAGGGUGCCACUGAGGGAGCUCCUGAGUGAGGUAGCCAAGGACCCUAAACGAGGGCCCACGUCACUGUGAUGUGUCAACACAAAAGGCGGGUGUGGAACCCAGUGGGGCAUGAAAGAGGGCGUUGUGAAGGGCCCUGGGUGCACAUGCCUUUGAGAGGGAGCGAACAGGGAAUGACAAGGUUUGGGUUUUGUAAGAGCAUGCGAAGCCAGUGUCAUUAUAGAGGUAGUUCCCCUGAACCCACAAUGAGUCAUGUCCCCGGCCGAUACGGCUCAAUUUGUUGUGGGUUGAAAAUCCCAUAUUUCUAAGGCUAUCUUUCUGCUGCUGUGACGUGGUGGCCAUGAGCUGGUAGAAUGAGGCUCACUCUUGAGUGUCCUGGGUGAGCUGAACGUGGUGGCUGGAUCUAAGGCUACGGUCUGCUUGGAUUGCACGCUCUGCCCCUGCCAUCUCCCGGGGCUGGCCCACACCGAGAUCUUUCAUUCUCACGGCAACCUUUGUAGGAGAUACUGUCGUGAUCUUCCUAGUUCACAGAAGCAUGAAGAGCAGUUCACUGUCCUGCCCACGUUUGCAAAGCUGGUAAGUACCCUAGUCGCAGGCAACCCAGGCAGCCGGAUUCUGGAUCCACACUCAAAAUCUCCGAGCUAUCCAGAUCCUGCCCUGGUCUGGACCUUCCCCCAAAUCAUAGUCCUUUGGCAAAUGUUUCAUGUGAGAGGAGACUCCAGAUUGGCCAGGGUUUUCAUGCAGAGCAACUGUGUGGAUGGUGGCAUCAUUUCCCAAGGUGAGGAACUGGAUGGAGCAGUUCCGGGGGUGGGAGGAGCGAAUCACGAUUUCCACUUAGCUUGAGACGCUUAUUAGACAGUAAAGUGGAGAUCAGAGUCAGCAAUGGCAAAACUAAGAACAGAGCCUUGUAAAAUGUAUCGUUCCCCCCAGACUCUUUUCUACUCCAUCAUGAAUUUCUGCAGACACACUUGCACAUACACAUGCAUGGCAAAAUGUCAAACAUUGAUUAUUGAAAAUAAGGGAUGGUACAUGAGUAUUCAUUGUGUUCUUUUCCAUAAUAUUUGAAAUUUUUUGAGUAAAACUUGACUUGAGAAUUCUUCAGGAAACCUGUCCUGCCCUCUCCCUUUGCCCCAAUGCUCUGUGCUGGUUCCCACGGGCUGGUGUGGGUUCCAGGCAGAAUAUUCAGGGUGGAUCUGGGGUGUGUGUGGGGUGUGGCCUGCUGGAGCCAAGGCUACCACAGGAGCUCUCGGGGAUGGGCUUCAGGGCCAUCCUGGGCCGUGGCUUUCUGCACAGCUCUCCUUGGACGUGGUCCUUGGGAAGGUGAGGAGGGAGUAACUGUGACGUCUAAAGUCCAGGCUCGGACUACUUCUGUCCCUGGGAAUCAGUGACAUGUGAAACUGUGGCUAGAUUUUUCAUAGAUUUCUAAUACGUAUUUAAAAAGCCUCCAGAAGCUUUUAUUUAGCUAAAGUUUGGCUUUAUGUUAAGUGGGAGGCAUUUGGCACAGAACUUGCCUGUUAAGGAAGAAUAUAAAUCCACUGACAACCUUAGCUCUGAUAAAAGGGAAUGUGAGAGGCUGGAGUCUUCUCUAGGGAGUGCUAACCUCCAAAACAGCUGUGGGGAGCCAUGUGCAGGAAAGCCACCCUGAGUCGAAGAGGACCCGCUCAGUGGUGUGCCUUGUGCCCCUGGCCAUCUCUCCAAGGCAAAACGAACAGGCACAGUGCUUCUAGUCCUGCCCACUGGGAAGAUUUCCUUUCACCAUUGCCUUUCAGAGCUGUCUCAAAGUGGAAUGGUAGUGCUGCAGCCCACUCCCAGGUGGCGUCUAGAUGCCAGGCAGAUCUGCCUGCCAGACAAGCCUGUUUCUUCCCCCAUCAUCAUGGAGCACUCCCCAUGAAGCCAUAUAUAUGGGGUGAGAGAGGGAAUGCAGUGUAGCAAGGAAAGGAGGCCUGGGCGUCUGAGGACCAGUGAAUCUGGGGGGCGGGCAUAGGCACCUGCUGGAGGUCAGACCAUAUAUACCACUUCCGCUCGAUGAUGGAGCUCUGCUUUCCAUUCUCAACUUUACGGCGUGGUGGGUAGAAAGUGCCCAACAAAUGACAUGCAGCUCUCUAAAAGCUGUUUCUCUAAAGGAGAGUAGUUAUCAGCACAGAACCACAGGUUUGCUCCCCAAUCCUGUGAAUCGACACUGUGAUUUACCCUAGUGAGUUCUGCCGAACACUCCACACUGACACGUCAAGCAGCAUCCAUUCUUAUGGGUUCUGUGUCCCAAAUGAGGAGCCUGCACGCCGGCCUGGACCUAUUGUGGAACUCCCUCUCUUGUGGAUCCCACCCAACGCUGGAAGUCUUGUGGAUCACUAGGUAGAUGGGUCGCAAUAACACAUCCUAAUGAGGUAUAUAUUGCCUCCCAAACCUAGAGAGGUUCACCAGGGGUUGUGCCUCUUUCUUAGCGGUAGAAGGGGCCGGAUACAACAGCAUGCCCUUCAGUGUGGAAGGAAUAUGUCGACAUACCUCAGACCAUUGAAUCCUUCAACUUUUCACGGCAGUAGAAAGGUUCUGAAUUUUUUGUAGCAUAAUUGUUUAAUUCUUUUGUAUGCUGUUGUAUGUUAUUUGUGGAUUUUUGGUGGAAUCUUACCAAUGUGGCUAGAAGUCAUUUCUUCCUGUUCAUCAGAUCCAGUCAAUAUAACAUCCUCAAUGCAAUUGACCAGAAUAAUGUUCGGCAGCAUGAAAAAUGUGACCAAGAUCCUGCAGACCAGGGCUAGAGAGUUGAUAUACCCCUGCAAUGGGACAGUGAAGGAAAAUUGGUGGCCUUCUCAGCUGAAAGCAAAUUAAUUUUCAUGGUGUUUACUAAGAGUAGAGAAACAGAGUACUUGCCAGACCCACAGCAGCACGCCAGGUGCCAAGGGCUGUAUUGAUUUACUCCAGCAAUGAAACUGCAUUUGAAAUAACAGCUGCAAUUGGAGUCACCAUCUGAUUACAUUUCUGAUAAUUCACUGUAAUUCUGUUUACCUCACUGGUCAAACCAGCGAGUCAAAUGGGGAUUGGUAGGAAUCGUCACCUCUGAUCUUUCAGGGGUCCUAAGUUGGCACUAAUCUCUACAGUCCCUCCAGGAAUGAGAUAUGGCUUUUGCUGUGCUUAAAUUCUUAUGGUAGAAGCUACUUAGUGGCUUUUACUUGGAUUCUUCUAUUGAAAUAAGCUAAGCAUACAAAUCAAAAUGGCUGCUGCUUCACUUUCACCCUCCAAAUCUCAGGCAAAAUGUCUCUUGAGGCUUACCUGAACCAGAAAGGAAUUCUGGGAAGAGUGGCUCAGCCUGACCAAGUUGACAGGUAAAGCUAUUUUAAACCAUUUCAAACUGUGGUCAUCUUUACACUUCAGCGUGCUUUAGCACAUUAUGACGUUCUGCUGUGUAAUUGUGUGCCACUGUGGUGCUGUGUUAUCUUAUUUUACAGAUAAGGAAACUAAAGCUCAGCGAUAAGAGAACUUGUCCAGUUUACACAGUAAGUGAGGGAGCCAGAGUUUAUAUCCAGCUCUGCCUAGCUUCAAACCUGUGCUCUUUAGACCACACUCAUGCCUUAGGGUGUGCACAUCUCAUGGUAUUCACAAGGACUUCACAUGGUAAAUGGACACAGUGUUCAGUCAUAAAAUGAGAAAAGAUACCCUUUCAGGUUACCUUUAUUAUUAAUGUCAAUGAAAAAGUCUCAGGCUAGAACUAGUAUGUUUCUAACACUUCUCACCUCGCUAACAUUCUUUUUUUUGAGGCAGAGUCUUGCUCUGUCACUGAGGCUGGAGUGCAGUGACGCAAUCUUGGCUCACUGCAACCUCCACCUCCCAGGUUCAAGUGAUUCUCAUGCCUCAGGCUCCGAAGUUGCUGGGAUUACAGGUGUGCACCACCACGCCCAGCUAAUUUUUGCAUUUUUUUUUUUUUUUUAAGUAGAAACAGGGUUUUCCCAUGUUGGCCAGGCUGGUCUUGAAUUCCUUACCUCAGGUGAUCUGCCCACGUUGGUCUCCCAAAGUGUUGGGAUUACAGGUGUGAGCCACCGCAGCCCACCAACUAACACUUUCUUGUCUCAGUUUAAAAAAAGAAAGCUUAGACCUUGGGCUUGGCAGUAACAUACAUAUGCACACACAUGCACACACAUUUAGUUCAUUUUGUGGUGGGGGCUUGCAAUUCCUUUGGAAGUAUAUUUACUUGAAGAGAAAAGGAAAAAGAAAAGUAAUUUUCUAGAAGAAAAACAACGAGUUCAUUAACUGUGUGAUAGUACAGGCAAUCCAAAGUUGCGAAUUCUACAUGUGGAUUACUUUGAGAAUGUUUUCCUCACCAUGCGUCUUUUCAGUGACAAGAGCACUUUCCUUGAUAAAGAAAACAUGUUUUAUCCAUAGCUUCAGUAAUGAGGCCACUAAAAUAUUAAUUUUCUGAGCAUUCUUAAACAUAACUGAAUCAGCUUCAAUUUGCCUAGAUACAUAGACAUUUUAGUGGUUUAUAGCAAAAUGUAAUAAACUGAAUAACUGUAGGCUUUAAUGUAAUCUCACACAAUCCUAUUACGUUCCAAUCACUUAUUUGACCUUUUAAGGAUGGUUCCCGCCUAAACAGACACGAUCCUGCGAUUCCGAAUGUCUUCUUCCUGUGUUGUUCCAAGGCAAUCGAUAGAUCAGAAAGAAUUAGUACCUCACUGGGUCCUCCAUUUGUAAUAUGCACUGUCCCAGGAAGGCACGAUGCAUCCCUCCCAGGCGUAAUAAAUGUUUACCGAGCACAGUUUGUGAAAUGCUCUCCAGUUUUCAUUCUCACAAAUUUCAGGGCCAUCAAAACAGCUUUCAUUUCCUUGAAGUAAUGAGCAAACCCAGGGUGAAUCCUGUUGCUACUUACAAUGCAUUAGAAAGGUGGGAGGGUGGCUGAGGUCAACACAGCCUUUAAGCUGUAAAGAAGCUCCUUUUGAAAGUUAAACUUCAGGACUUGGGGAGAGGGUGAGAGGGGGUGAGGGAUAAAAGACUACAAGUAGGGUGCAGUAACUACUGCUCGGGUGAUGGGUGCACCAGAAUCUCCACAAAUCACCACUAAAGAACUUACUCUGCCGGGCGCGGUGGCUCACGCCUGUAACCCCAGCACUUUGGGAGGCCGAGGCGGGUGGACCACGAGGUCAAGAGAUCGAGACCAUCCUGGUCAACAUGGUGAAACCCCGUCACUACUAAAAAUACAAAAAAUUAGCUGGGCGUGGUGGUGUGUGCCUGUAAUCCCAGCUACUCAGGAGGCUGAGGCGGGAGAAUUGCCUGAACCCAGGAGGCGGAGGUUGCGGUGAGCCGAGAUCAUGCCAUUGCACUCCAGCCUGGGAAACAAGAGCGAAACUCCGUCUCAAAAAAAAAAAAAAAAAAAAACGUACUCAUGUACCCCAAUACCACCUGUACCCCAAUAACCUACAGAAAAAAUAAAUAAAAAGCAAGUUAAGUGUAUACUGUAUUUAGAGGUAGACGUCAGGAGCAGUGAGACAGUCUACAGAGAACUAUGCAGGUUUAGACCUGUGGAUAGAACAAUCAACAUAAGAUUCAGUUGUCCUCAAUCACUUCCAUGUAAGUGAAGAGUUUGCUAAAUAAUCAUGAUAUUGAUGAUUAUGAGUAAGUGAACGUACUCAUCCAAAAUUAAAUACACUACCAUUUGCUGACUAUUAUGUACCAGGUUCAGAGCUGUAUCUGUGGUAAACAAAGCUGGAUAAAAUAUGUCUGUCCCUGGAGACUCUUGGUUUAGAUAGCAGGAAAGGUAGACUAAAUAAAUCAUAGUACAAUGAGAUGGGGACAGAAAUAAAGGUGAGUGCCAGUUGUGAAAGUGUGUGAUGGGCUCUGCUUGGAGGAGCAGGGCAGAGGGGCAUAAAUGGGGUCUUGAACACUGAGGGGGAGUUACGGAAACUUUAAACAAAGGUGAAAUGGAAGCUGCUUCCAAGCAGUGGGAUUGAUUUUAAAGUGUAAUGAAGUCUUUCUAAAAUGGUACUAUCCUGGAAAAAUCAUUGUGUUUAAGGUUUAUUAGGGCUGCCCUCAUCUGCAGCUUGCAGGAAGCCCAGUUAGCAGUGCUUUCAAAAGGUAACUAUUUCUUUGUUUCGGGCAACAAGAAUUGUGAUAGGAGGCCGGCUCGGUCUGGGAUGCCGGUUGAGUGGUGCAUUUGUAAAGUAGGCUCUUUUCACGUUUGCCCUCCACACAGAGUCGAGUCCAGCUUUAGCCCUCACAUGUGUGUUUCAUGGUCAAAGACUGAUGCUGAGGCUUCAGGCUCACGAUCUCAUCACAACCAGGAAGACGGAAGAAGAACUGAAAGGGAGAAGGGAUGUCACAUUGGGGUCUGUUCUUUUUAAAGAGCUUUCCUGAAAGUUUCUUCAAGAGAUUUUAACUAAUGUCACUGGCCGGAAAUAACUUGGCCAUCCCACUUCAGUACAAGGGAGUCUGAAAACCAAGAAUGUUAGCUUUCCAGCCCAUCACUGAGGAAGGAAAGAGAGAGAGAAAGUGGGGCGGAGGUGUGGGCUGUGGCUUGUUUGUGAAUAGCUAGUUCACAAAGUAUAGCACAAAGGUCUUGUGAGAGUUUAGGCCACAAUCACGUAGUUUUAGCAUUAAAUGUUUAGGUCUUACAUAGUUAAGGUUCUCCAGAGGGGCAGAACUAAUAGGAUAUAUGUAUAUGUGAAGGGAGUUUAUUAAGGAGAGUUGGCUCACAUGAUCACAGGGUGAAGUCCCACCAUAGGCCAUCUGCAAGCUCAGGAAGAAAGAAGCUGGUAGUGGCUCAUUCUGAAUCCAAAAGCCUCAAAAGCAGGGAAGCCAACAGUGCAGCCUUCAGUCUGUGACCGAAGGCAGGAGAGCCCCCAGCAAACCGCUGGUGUAAGUCCGAGAGUCCAGAGAACCUGUAGUCUGAUGUCCAAGGGCAGGAGGAAUGGGAGGAAGCAUCCAGCAAGGGAGAAAGAUGAAAGCCAGAACUCAGCAAGCCAGCUCAUCCCACCUUCUGCCUGCUGGUUUUAGCCUCGCUGGCAAACAGCUGGAUGGUGCCCACCCAUAUUGAGGGUGGAGUUUCCUCUCCUAGUCCACGGAAUCAAAUGUUAAUCUCCUCUGGCAACACCCACACAGACACACCCAGAAACAAGACUACUAGCUGUCUAUGCAUCCUUCAAUCCAGUCAAGUUGACUCUUAAUAUUAACCAUCACAGGUCUAAACAUCCAAAGGAAGUGAAAACACCAUCUGAGUUCUUCAUAUGGUAGAUUAAAUAACUCACCUGCUCAGGUCCACACAGAUAGCUAGAGAUACAGCUGGAACUUGAAUUCAGGUCAUCUGCUUUCCAGUCUUGGUUGUUUUCUCCUUGUAUUAAUCUGUUCUCACACUGCUAGAAACAACUCCCUGAGACUGGAUAAUUUGUGAAGAAAAGAGGUUUAAUUGGUGGAUAGCUCCACAGGCUUAACAGGAGGCAUGGCUGGGAGAUCUUAGGAAACUUGCAGUCAUGGCGGAAGGCAAAGAAGGAGCAAGCACCUUCUUCUCAUGGCAGCCACACACAGGGAAGCCACACAGGGAGGUGACACACACAUUUAAACCAUCGGAUCUCAUGAGAACACACUCACUGUCCGGAGAACAGCAUGGGAGAAACUGCCCCCGUAUCCAGCCACCUCCCACCAGGUCCCUCCCGCAACAUUGGGGAUUACAAGUCAACGUGAGAUUUGAGUGGGGACACAGAGCCAAACCAUGUCACUCCUGUACACUAACCUGACGUGCUGGACUUAGAUGAUGGUUUACAUCAAUCUCAAAUCAAUCUACUAGUUAUAAAAUACUAAAAGUUUCUGUAAUUAUUAGAACCUGCAUAUAUUGGAAAAACAAUAGCUAUAAGAAAUAAAAAAAUCUCUGGAAGAACCUGAGAAGACACCUGAGCUAAUACUGGUGAAGUGGCUCGAUGCACUGCAGGUAUCUGGUGCCUUAUUUAUCCCUGGAAGGGAGAUUAAAAAAAUACCAGGCAAGAAUAAAGCUUCCCAUCUUUUGAGGCACAAAGACUGAAAACAAAGUUGGCUCUUCUAAGUAGUAGAAUUCAAAGAGCCUAGAAAGUGAUUGUCAGUUCUUUCUCCUAACCCUUCUUCAGAUCUUUAAAAACAUGAUAAUACUCCUCCACAAGAAAGCGGAGCCUGUUUCUGAGGAAGCACUCCUGUUUAUCACAGAAAGUCUAAGUGUUUGUCAAAUGAUAGUUUGCAGAAAGGAAGACAAUAGAUAGGAAAAAAAAUCAGCCAGGCACGGUGGCUCAUGCCUGUAAUCCCAGCACUUUGGGAGGCUGAGGCAGGUGGAUCAUGAGGUCAGGAGUUCAAGACCAGCCUGACCAACAGGGUGAAACCUCACGUCUACUAAAAAUAUAAAAAUUAGCCAGGCAUGGUGGCACAUGCUUGUAAUUCCAGCUACUUGGGAGGCUGAGGCAGGAGAAUUGCUUGAACCCAGGAGGCGGAGGUUGCAGUGAGGUGAGAUCACGCCACUGUACUCAAGCCUGGGCGACAGAAUGAGACUUGGUCUCAAAAAAAAAAAAAGAAAAAUCCACAAAGACAUUUUUCUUUCCUUUGCUGUAACAAAACCUGUUGCUAAAUUACUGCCUCUUAUAAUAAUAAGGGAAGGCCAUUGAACAUCCAUGCUACAAUUUAAACUAUGGAGAACACACAGGUUAUUUUAUUAAAUGCAUGCAAAUUUUGAUUUGGAAAGAAAAUUAUAUGAAAAUGUUGCAGUGACUGAAUAAAGAAGCAAGCAUGCUGAAUAUAACCUUCCACUUCUAAGCAUUUUGAGAGAGAAACGUAAUAGAAACAGAUACACAAUUCCUGUAUGCAUUUCUGUACAUUCUAUCCAUCAUCACACAUUCAUGCACAUGGUUAACCAGAUAGUCUCUAAAGUCUGUCAGCUUCAUGAGUCAAGUGUGUUCAUGGCUUAUUCUUAAAUUUAACGUCUUUGCACCCCAGUAGCAUUUUGCACUUUCAAGUAAUAUUUUAAAAUUUGUUUAAGUUACUGUAAUACUCACUCUGAAUUCUACCAUUUUGAAUCUCUACUCUUGUGGUUCCUGUGGCAUACCACCGAUGCAGUAGAACGUUAUUAUAAUUCCGUAGUAAAAUAGUUAUAUUUUGUUGACUUGUGCUUAGCAUAUUGUGAGCACCCAGAGAUUGACAGAUUGAAUCAACGUAUCCGUGUCUUUUCAGCAUUCCAGUGGUGUGCCUUGCAGUGAAACAGAAUGAUUCAUUUCACUGAAAUACUCUAUGGAGCUCUAGGUAGACUUUGAGUGUGACUGUAUUCCUCUCAUCUCAUUGAGGUGAAGCCACUGAAUAAAUUUAAAGUGUGAAUAAAUUGCAUUUGUUAUAUGUAUUAUAUGCACAAUAGCAAGCAUGAAUCAUGGCAUUGAUCACAGUAAUGGGAUUUUUACACCUAUCGUCAGUUCUUAUGCUUUAAGCCUCUGGUUUCUGGUACAGUCUUUAUUGCAUUGAAUGAGAUGAAAUGCUUGUUUUGAGUCUCUUCAUCAGGUUGGAAGGGGACGGAGUGGCGGAUGUGAUAGACCACAGGCCGCUCAGUGACAGGGUCCGCACUGCCUGCAGAAAAGACUGGGGCGUCUAUGGCUUUUGGAAAAUGAAAAAUUCCAAAUGUACACAUAUAGAAACAGAAGAAUAAAAUCCCAGAUCCCCUUCUCCAGCUGUGACUAAUAUCCACUCAUGGCCCAUGUUUUUGCAUUGAUAUUUCCCCUCACCUCAUGUUUGCAUGCAAAUCUGUGUUUACAUUCAUAGCUUUUCAGAAUGUAAUUCUAAAAGAUAAAGACCCUUCAUGAACAUAAUCAUAGUCCAAUAUAAAAUCUGUCGAAAUCAACAAUUCCUUACUGUAACUAAAUGAUUAUCCAAUCUGUGUCCCAAUUUUCCUGAUUUCUCAAAUUAUUUUUUUGUGGUUUGUUAAAAUCAGGAUAUGCGUAGUAUUGCAAUCCAUGGCUGUGCCUCUCAAGAGUCAUCUAAUUUAGAUUUUUCUCUUCAUUUAUUUCCUGCAGUGCAUUUGUUGAAGAAGGUCUGUCUGUUCUGUCCCGCAGUCCAUAUUUUGCGGAGUGCACCUGCGGCGUUGUUCCCUUCUCCUCCAUGGUUACUGUAAUCUAGCUAUAAUCUAGUAGUCAGAUCAAUUUCAGGUUUGAUUGUUGCUUGGCAAGACCACUGUGCAGGUGCCACCCUGUUCUUCCACCAGGGGGCACAGAAGAUCUGGUGGUCUGUCUUUUUAUGAUGGUGCCAAGACUCUUUUUGACAAGUGCCCAUGGUCUGAUGGACAUUUAGUAGCUAUUAGUAAGUUAUAAUAUGCCUGAAUAUCACAGGUUGUGUGUGAGUUUUAGUCUUGCAAGUAAUUGGUAUGCAUUUUUUAAAAAGCUUAGACUAUUAAUCACUGUCAUAUCUUUAUUAUUUUUUCUGUGUGGUUUUUAAGGUGUCCCCACCAGGCCUGCUUAGCAGAAAGCACAGUUUCUCUGUGUCAAAGCCUUUUCCAUGUUGCUGUGCAGAAGGCAUCUCUAUCUUGCAGCCUCUGAGCCAGCCCAGACUCCCCUCUGCUGUCCAUGGUCCUCUGGGUCUGUAUCAGGCCUUUUGAACUAAAUGGAAAGUCGGGGCUUCAUUUCUUACUGUUUCAGGAGGCUUCUUGUCACUCAGACAAAGAGACGCACUUUCCUGGCAAACUGGCUCUGCACACCAGAGAGAAUCAGCGCUUCAGUCUAGAGGUCUUGAACUCUUUUCUCCCAACAGGGGCGUCAGCUCUUUGUGUUUACACACAGGUAAGAGGCUCCUCGAGUGCUCAAAGCUGCCAAAUGAAUGUCGGCUCCAAGGUGACUUUCUGUACUUCCAGCCUGAGAAGCUGUUGCAAGCUUUCUUGUCUUUCUUUUUUCUUAAUGAAAACCUUUUUAAUGAAGAAAAAUACUGUACAUUGAGUCCCAUUUUACCUACCUGACUACAGACACACACACACACACGCACACCCCGAAAUGAAGUAUCACUAAAUGAAACUUACUCUGUUUUCUUUUCCUUUCUUUCUUUUUCUAUUUUUUAAGAUGCUCUUAUUUUUGGUGCCCAGGCUAGAGUGCAGUAGCAGGAGCAGAGCUCACUGCAGCCUCGGCCAGUCCUGGGUGCAAGCAAUCCUCUUGCCUCAGCCUUCCUCCUGAGUAGCUGGGAUCACAGGCACAUGCCCCUAUGCCUGGCUAAUUUCUUAAUUUUUUUGUAGAGACAGAGUCCCACUAGAUUGCCCAGACUGAUCUUGAAUUCCUGGGCUCAAGCAUUCCUCCUCCCCCCGGGCUCCCAAAAUAUUGGGAUUACAGGCAUGAGCCACAGCACCCAGCCAGAACUUGUUCUCAGUGUGCCGGAAGCUUGCUGCUUUUGGCUUUUCCUUCCUGUUUGCUUCCUUCUUAUACUAUAUCAUUAACAAAAAAGGUGGUUAGGCCACUAAGUUGAUUUUACUACCGAAUAAUAACUUGUAAACUGCAAAUUGAAUAAUACAGCUAUAGGAAAACUUUCUGGCUAAUUAGAUCCAUGCACAUAGCAGAUGCUCAAUAAGUAUUCAUUGAUAUACAUGCUCCCUUCUUUUACAGGUCUUUGUGAGAUAAGACAUAUAUACUUUAAAAAUAAAGAUACUAUACGAGAAUGAAUUAUAUAAAGAAGCUACACGCAUGAGAUCUCAAGGCAGUAGUAUAAGAUUAAAAAAGUGAAAAAGGUGGCCGGGCACGAUGGGUCAUGCCCGUAAUCCCAGCACUUUGGGAGGCCAAGGCAGGCGGAUCACGAGGUCAAAAGAUCGAGACCAUCCUGGCCAACAUGGUGAAAACCCGUCUCUACUAAAAAAAUACAAAAAUUAGCUGGGCAUGGUGGCAUGCGCCUGUAGUCCCACCUACUUGGGAGGCUGAGGCAGGAGACUUGCUUGAACCCGGGAGGCAGAGGUUGCAGUGAGCCAAGAUCGCGUCACUGCACUCCAGCCUGGUGCCUGGUGACAGAGCGAGACUCUGUCUCAAAAAAAAAAGUGAAAAAGUGAUGUAGAUGGUAAUUUUGUGAGUUAAACUAAUAAAUGCUUAUCCUUUACAAUAGAAA
Callithrix jacchus (white-tufted-ear marmoset) is the source of this 26121-nucleotide non-coding RNA. Lineage: Eukaryota; Metazoa; Chordata; Mammalia; Primates; Cebidae. The record is from RefSeq and is a predicted model, not a curated record.